AGAUAGAUGCCCGUAGGUUUGGGCGCUUAGCUGUUAACUAAGAGUUCGCAAGAUCGAAGCUUGCCUGUCUAGU
Molecule: transfer RNA, 73 nt
Filed under: Lutjanus johnii (John's snapper)
Lineage: Eukaryota; Metazoa; Chordata; Actinopteri; Lutjaniformes; Lutjanidae
Description: tRNA-Asn
Source: RNAcentral